CCAACAGGGAUUGCCUCAGUAACGGCGAGUGAAGCGGCAACAGCUCAAAUUUGAAAUCUGGCUUUCGGGCCCGAGUUGUAAUUUGGAGAGGGAGUUUCGGAAGCGGCGCCGGCCUAAGUUCCUUGGAACAGGGCGUCGUAGAGGGUGAGAAUCCCGUAUGUGGCCGGCGGUCAAUUCCGUGUGAAACCCCUUCGACGAGUCGAGUUGUUUGGGAAUGCAGCUCAAAAUGGGUGGUAAAUUUCAUCUAAAGCUAAAUACCGGCCAGAGACCGAUAGCGCACAAGUAGAGUGAUCGAAAGAUGAAAAGCACUUUGGAAAGAGAGUUAAAAAGUACGUGAAAUUGUUGAAAGGGAAGCGCUUGCAACCAGACUUGCUCGCGGGUGAUCAACCCCCCUUCGUGGGAGGUGCACUCGCCCGCGAUCAGGCCAGCAUCGGUUUCGACGGGUGGAUAAAGGCUCCAGGAAUGUAGCUCCCUUCGGGGAGUGUUAUAGCCUGGAGUGCCAUGCGCCCCGCCGGGACCGAGGACCGCGCUUCGGCUAGGAUGCUGGCGUAAUGGUUGUAAGCGACCCGUCUUGAAACACGGACCAAGGAGUCUAACAUCUAUGCGAGUGUUUGGGUGAUAAACCCCGGCGCGGAAUGAAAGUGAACGGAGGUGGGAGCCCCUUUCGGGGGGCGCACCAUCGACCGAUCCAGAUGUCUUCGGAUGGAUUUGAGUAGGAGCAUAGCUGUUGGGACCCGAAAGAUGGUGAACUAUGCCUGGAUAGGGUGAAGCCAGAGGAAACUCUGGUGGAGGCUCGCAGCGGUUCUGACGUGCAAAUCGAUCGUCAAAUCUGGGUAUAGGGGCGAAAGGCAAGCUACCCGGUUAAUUCUUCUUUUAGGGACAAAUUUGCUAACAAUUUUUACAGACUAAUCGAACCAUCUAGUAAAUCGCUACUAGAAAUACUACACGAAGUAUGGGCUGUACACGCCAUAGUAGUCCCCCGAUUCUAGGGGGGCCACACCGCCGGUCUUCGGGGAUACCAUUAUAAGGUUACCCGUACUGAGCCUCGGGCUCAGUCACAGACUAAGUGGCGGUGGCCGCGGGACGAGCCUGCGGUUAGGAUAUAGUCGGCGGGACCUCUAACGGGGUGCCCGGUACGCGGCUGGUUUCAGCCGAAGUUUCCCUCAGGAUAGCAGUAACGUUUUCAGUUUUAUGAGGUAAAGCGAAUGAUUAGAGGCCUUGGGGGUGAAACACCCUUAACCUAUUCUCAAACUUUAAAUAUGUAAGAAGUCCUUGUUACUUAGUUGAACGUGGACAUUUGAAUGCACCGUUACUAGUGGGCCAUUUUUGGUAAGCAGAACUGGCGAUGCGGGAUGAACCGAACGUGAGGUUAAGGUGCCGGAAUGCACGCUCAUCAGACACCAACCCUUUUGUGGUGUCUGUCCCGGAACUCAGCGAGUUGCGGUUUAGUUAUUGCGCCUGGGCAAUAGCGAGGUCUUUGAUCUGCGAGGAGUGCUGGAGCCGUAAUCCAGCCCACCCGCAACCAUGGUAUCCGUGGCCCACAGAUUAAGCAUAGGCCGGCGGUUCCUUCGGGGCUGCUUGAGAUAUGAUCGGCCUCGGGGCUCACGCCCGGAGACUAGGCGCAAAAGGUGUUGAUUCAUCUAGACAGUUGGACAGUGGCCAUGGAAGUCGGAAUCUGCUAAGGAGUGUUUUCAAUCUUUACACGCUCCUACGAUUAGGGUGUCGGCAAAUUUCAUCCUUGUAGGUGUAGGCAUAACCCGGAAAAGGGGUUCCCUUUAAACCUACAGUGCUGAAAUUUAACGAACAUUCAAUCUUUCUAAAUUCGUGGAAAGGCCAAGCUCAGUAUUGCCCUCCGGGCUUUAAAGGAUCUUGUGUCCAUCACGAGCCUAUUUUAUGAAAAUAGGUUUAGAGACUAAAUGGAAUGGGUUCUGUAUUUACAACAGGUCCUUGAUAUAGUCCAACCCACACCUGCAAAGGUAGGGUCGCUCGUGGUGUAACAACUCACCAACCGAAUGAAUCAGCCCUGAAAAUGGAUGGCGCUCAAGCGUGUUACCCAUACCUCACCGCCAGGGUAGAAACGAUGCCCUGGCGAGUAGGCUGACGUGGGGGUCCGUGACGAAGCCUUGGGGGUGACCCCGGGUAGAACGGCCCUAGUGC
RNAcentral lists this ribosomal RNA (2157 nucleotides) under Aspicilia sp. AFTOL 822. RNAcentral describes it as "partial 28S ribosomal RNA". It matches the Rfam family "Eukaryotic large subunit ribosomal RNA", at positions 65 to 1445 of the family's 3401-position model. Lineage: Eukaryota; Fungi; Ascomycota; Lecanoromycetes; Pertusariales; Megasporaceae. The record is from RNAcentral.